Molecule: unclassified non-coding RNA, 337 nt
Filed under: soil metagenome
Description: partial contains 5.8S ribosomal RNA, internal transcribed spacer 2, and large subunit ribosomal RNA
Rfam family: 5.8S ribosomal RNA (bases 1-120)
Source: RNAcentral
GAUGAAGAACGCAGCGAAAUGCGAUAAGUAAUGUGAAUUGCAGAAUUCAGUGAAUCAUCGAAUCUUUGAACGCACAUUGCGCCCCCUGGUAUUCCAUGGGGCAUGCCUGUUCGAGCGUCAUUUGUACCUUCAAGCUCUGCUUGGUGUUGGGUGUUUGUCUCGCCUCUGCGUGUAGACUCGCCUCAAAACAAUUGGCAGCCGGCGUAUUGAUUUCGGAGCGCAGUACAUCUCGCGCUUUGCACUCAUAACGACGACGUCCAAAAGUACAUUUUUACACUCUUGACCUCGGAUCAGGUAGGGAUACCCGCUGAACUUAAGCAUAUCAAUAAGCGGAGGA